Molecule: long non-coding RNA, 638 nt
Organism: Triplophysa rosa
Lineage: Eukaryota; Metazoa; Chordata; Actinopteri; Cypriniformes; Nemacheilidae
Exons: 4
Source: RefSeq, a predicted model, not a curated record
AGCUGCUCUUUCAGCAAGCCUGUCGCCUGAAGCUCUUCGCGCAAUACUGAGGUUUGGAUCAUUCACUGGAGGAGGGCGGAACUUUACGGUUACAGUUCACGCUUAUUGGCCGUACCACAAUGGGAGGAAAACUUGGGAACUUCUUAGAAGAGGAAGAGCCUGGCUUGGAGAGUCCGGUAAGCUUUGGUGUAGCUCACAAGAGACCAGACGCUGAGGUGCAGGAGUGGAGUAUUUAAAGGGAACUGAUUGUCGGGGGCAGGUGUGGGGAAUCAGUAGUCUGGGGAAGCUGAACGUGCCGGGAAGCGAUAAUGAACUUUUCCGUGGCCUGUCUUGUAAAUCUGAACCAUGGUGUGUUGUCAGAUAAGAGCAGCAUCUCAGCCUCAUGGAACCGUCAGAAGUUAUUAAUGAGUGCCGGGUGAAAGCAGAUGUCCGGGGCAGCUGGCAUCACAUCGCAGCCGUGAGCCUCACAAAGGACAGCGAGCUGCUCUACACCCACCCAGAUGAUUUUCCACUGGCUUUGAAGCCGGCAUUACCUCCAGAACCCAAUGAUGAUACCCAAUUACAUGAAAAUUGUCCCCUAAAUGAUCCCUGUGUCCCUGCCUCUGAUGUCUGUGAACACCAAGCGUAGUAACACAUUA